GACCUCGUGGUGCAAUGGUAGCGCGUCUGACUCCAGAUCAGAAGGUUGCGUGUUCGAAUCACGUCGGGGUCA
RNAcentral lists this transfer RNA (72 nucleotides) under Nomascus leucogenys (northern white-cheeked gibbon). RNAcentral describes it as "tRNA-Trp (CCA) (tRNA-Trp-CCA-8-1)". It matches the Rfam family "tRNA". From Rfam's summary of the family: Transfer RNA (tRNA) molecules are approximately 80 nucleotides in length. Their secondary structure includes four short double-helical elements and three loops (D, anti-codon, and T loops). Lineage: Eukaryota; Metazoa; Chordata; Mammalia; Primates; Hylobatidae. The record is from Rfam by way of RNAcentral.